UUCCCCCGGGAUGCUGACAGAGCUGGAUUGUGGCUGAAGGCGGUGGGUUGGCCAUCAGCUCCUGACACAUCAAGAAUGUUUGUAUGUAACAAACUUUUUUCCCGGGAGAGCUUUUACAGACAUGUGGACGUUGGCAUUGCUCAUCUCCGACGAGAAGACGCUGAACGAAGUCCCAAAUAUCUUUCCAUCCCUGCAGGGCAGCCAUUUCACUUGAGCUGCUGGCUGGAAAUACUGGAGUUUUGCCCAGUGACCGCAGCUGAAGGAGGAAGUCUAAAUAUGGUCACUGGUGAGAUGAAUUUAUCAUGACAUCACAAAACAAGCAGCAGCCACGCUUCCGGGUUCUUCACACAGUCAGAUUAGAAAUGGCUAUUCAGAGCAAAUGCAAUUAUAAUCAAAGUUAUAGUAAUGUUAAGCCUAUAAUUGUAACUAUUUUUGUUAAAUAAAGGUUAUUAGAACAUGAUACCUAUCACAAGCUGAAAAUACCAGUCAUCUGGUUUAACUACACUACUGCUAAUGCAUGCCUUUGUUCUCUUUACUAUUGCAACCUAUUUUAUGCUUUCUUGUACUGAGAAGCAACAGGAGUUCCUUGAUUUUGAAUGUAUUGUGUUCCUUCUUUAUGUUUCAGGCUAAAAGUGUAGCUUGGCUGGUGUUUUCUCAUGUUUAUAUCUUAAUUGUUAACAUCAAUUAAUCAAAUCU
Molecule: long non-coding RNA, 696 nt
Organism: Sinocyclocheilus grahami
Lineage: Eukaryota; Metazoa; Chordata; Actinopteri; Cypriniformes; Cyprinidae
Exons: 3
Source: RefSeq, a predicted model, not a curated record